RNAcentral lists this ribosomal RNA (482 nucleotides) under uncultured bacterium. Its description in RNAcentral is "partial 16S ribosomal RNA". It matches the Rfam family "Bacterial small subunit ribosomal RNA", at positions 30 to 506 of the family's 1533-position model. The record is from RNAcentral.
UUGCACGCUGGCGGCAGGCCUAACCCCUGCAAGUCGAGCGGAUGAAGGGAGCUUGCUCCUGGAUUCAGCGGCGGACGGGUGAGUAAUGCCUAGGAAUCUGCCUGGUAGUGGGGGAUAACGUCCGGAAACGGGCGCUAAUACCGCAUACGUCCUGAGGGAGAAAGUGGGGGAUCUUCGGACCUCACGCUAUCAGAUGAGCCUAGGUCGGAUUAGCUAGUUGGUGGGGUAAAGGCCUACCAAGGCGACGAUCCGUAACUGGUCUGAGAGGAUGAUCAGUCACACUGGAACUGAGACACGGUCCAGACUCCUACGGGAGGCAGCAGUGGGGAAUAUUGGACAAUGGGCGAAAGCCUGAUCCAGCCAUGCCGCGUGUGUGAAGAAGGUCUUCGGAUUGUAAAGCACUUUAAGUUGGGAGGAAGGGCAGUAAGUUAAUACCUUGCUGUUUUGACGUUACCAACAGAAUAAGCACCGGCUAACUUCGU